Molecule: transfer RNA, 62 nt
Filed under: Dermacentor albipictus
Lineage: Eukaryota; Metazoa; Arthropoda; Arachnida; Ixodida; Ixodidae
Description: tRNA-Tyr
Source: RNAcentral
GGUAAAAUGGCCGAUUAUAGGUGAUAAAUUGUAAAUUUAUUUAUGAAUUUCCUCUUUUACUA